This 368-nucleotide ribosomal RNA is filed under the name uncultured organism. RNAcentral's name for it is "bacterial SSU rRNA". It matches the Rfam family "Bacterial small subunit ribosomal RNA", at positions 526 to 896 of the family's 1533-position model. The record is from RNAcentral.
CGGAGGGUGCAAGCGUUAUCCGGAUUCACUGGGUUUAAAGGGUGCGUAGGUGGCUUUGUAAGUCAGUGGUGAAAUCUUAGAGCUUAACUCUAAAACUGCCAUUGAUACUGCUUAGCUUGAAUCAGGUAGAGGUGGAUGGAAUAUUACAUGUAGCGGUGAAAUGCUUAGAUAUGUAAUAGAACACCGAUUGCGAAGGCAGUUCACUAUGCCUGCAUUGACACUGAGGCACGAAAGCGUGGGGAUCAAACAGGAUUAGAUACCCUGGUAGUCCACGCCCUAAACGAUGUAAACUCGACAUUAGCGAUAUACUGUUAGUGUCCAAGCGAAAGCGUUAAGUUUACCACCUGGGAAGUACGACCGCAAGGUUG